This 1385-nucleotide ribosomal RNA is filed under the name Lactiplantibacillus plantarum. Its description in RNAcentral is "bacterial SSU rRNA". It matches the Rfam family "Bacterial small subunit ribosomal RNA", at positions 69 to 1429 of the family's 1533-position model. The record is from RNAcentral. Lineage: Bacteria; Bacillati; Bacillota; Bacilli; Lactobacillales; Lactobacillaceae.
AUUGAUUGGUGCUUGCAUCAUGAUUUACAUUUGAGUGAGUGGCGAACUGGUGAGUAACACGUGGGAAACCUGCCCAGAAGCGGGGGAUAACACCUGGAAACAGAUGCUAAUACCGCAUAACAACUUGGACCGCAUGGUCCGAGCUUGAAAGAUGGCUUCGGCUAUCACUUUUGGAUGGUCCCGCGGCGUAUUAGCUAGAUGGUGGGGUAACGGCUCACCAUGGCAAUGAUACGUAGCCGACCUGAGAGGGUAAUCGGCCACAUUGGGACUGAGACACGGCCCAAACUCCUACGGGAGGCAGCAGUAGGGAAUCUUCCACAAUGGACGAAAGUCUGAUGGAGCAACGCCGCGUGAGUGAAGAAGGGUUUCGGCUCGUAAAACUCUGUUGUUAAAGAAGAACAUAUCUGAGAGUAACUGUUCAGGUAUUGACGGUAUUUAACCAGAAAGCCACGGCUAACUACGUGCCAGCAGCCGCGGUAAUACGUAGGUGGCAAGCGUUGUCCGGAUUUAUUGGGCGUAAAGCGAGCGCAGGCGGUUUUUUAAGUCUGAUGUGAAAGCCUUCGGCUCAACCGAAGAAGUGCAUCGGAAACUGGGAAACUUGAGUGCAGAAGAGGACAGUGGAACUCCAUGUGUAGCGGUGAAAUGCGUAGAUAUAUGGAAGAACACCAGUGGCGAAGGCGGCUGUCUGGUCUGUAACUGACGCUGAGGCUCGAAAGUAUGGGUAGCAAACAGGAUUAGAUACCCUGGUAGUCCAUACCGUAAACGAUGAAUGCUAAGUGUUGGAGGGUUUCCGCCCUUCAGUGCUGCAGCUAACGCAUUAAGCAUUCCGCCUGGGGAGUACGGCCGCAAGGCUGAAACUCAAAGGAAUUGACGGGGGCCCGCACAAGCGGUGGAGCAUGUGGUUUAAUUCGAAGCUACGCGAAGAACCUUACCAGGUCUUGACAUACUAUGCAAAUCUAAGAGAUUAGACGUUCCCUUCGGGGACAUGGAUACAGGUGGUGCAUGGUUGUCGUCAGCUCGUGUCGUGAGAUGUUGGGUUAAGUCCCGCAACGAGCGCAACCCUUAUUAUCAGUUGCCAGCAUUAAGUUGGGCACUCUGGUGAGACUGCCGGUGACAAACCGGAGGAAGGUGGGGAUGACGUCAAAUCAUCAUGCCCCUUAUGACCUGGGCUACACACGUGCUACAAUGGAUGGUACAACGAGUUGCGAACUCGCGAGAGUAAGCUAAUCUCUUAAAGCCAUUCUCAGUUCGGAUUGUAGGCUGCAACUCGCCUACAUGAAGUCGGAAUCGCUAGUAAUCGCGGAUCAGCAUGCCGCGGUGAAUACGUUCCCGGGCCUUGUACACACCGCCCGUCACACCAUGAGAGUUUGUAACACCCAAAGUCG